UGGGGAAUAUUGGACAAUGGGGGGAACCCUGAUCCAGCCAUGCCGCGUGUGUGAAGAAGGCCUUCGGGUUGUAAAGCACUUUAAUUUGGGAGGAAGGGCUUACGGUUAAUAACCGCUAAGUUUUGACGUUACCAAAAGAAUAAGCACCGGCUAACUUCGUGCCAGCAGCCGCGGUAAUACGAAGGGUGCAAGCGUUAAUCGGAAUUACUGGGCGUAAAGCGCGCGUAGGUGGUUCAGUAAGUUAGGAGUGAAAGCCCCGGGCUCAACCUGGGAAUUGCUUCUAAAACUGCUGGGCUAGAGUACAGUAGAGGGUGGUGGAAUUUCCUGUGUAGCGGUGAAAUGCGUAGAUAUAGGAAGGAACAUCAGUGGCGAAGGCGACCACCUGGACUGAUACUGACACUGAGGUGCGAAAGCGUGGGGAGCAAACA
RNAcentral lists this ribosomal RNA (428 nucleotides) under uncultured prokaryote. Its description in RNAcentral is "bacterial SSU rRNA". It matches the Rfam family "Bacterial small subunit ribosomal RNA", at positions 355 to 774 of the family's 1533-position model. The record is from RNAcentral.